RNAcentral lists this long non-coding RNA (204 nucleotides) under Elaeis guineensis (African oil palm). RNAcentral's name for it is "long non-coding RNA (EGUI_LNC026508)". The record is from RNAcentral. Lineage: Eukaryota; Viridiplantae; Streptophyta; Magnoliopsida; Arecales; Arecaceae.
UUGAUGCAAUAGUUCCUUCACCAAGAAAUUCUUUUUUUAAAAAGACAGCUUUAUUGCUGACGAACAUCUUCUAUUCGUCAGCAUGGUAGAAGUAAUAUCCCUUGGUCUCUUUUAGGUACCCUACAAAUAAAUAUUUAUUAGACUUAGGUCUAAGCUUGUCAGUUUUCAAACAUUUGACAUAAGUCGGACAUCCUCAAACCCUCA